AGAGCGAACGCUGGCGGCAGGCCUAACACAUGCAAGUCGAGCGCCCGUAGCAAUACGGGAGCGGCAGACGGGAUAGUAACACGUGGGAACGCGCCCUUCGGUUCGGAAUAACUCAGGGAAACUUGAGCUAAUACCGAAUACGCCCUUACGGGGAAAGAUUUAUUGCCGAAGGAACGGCCCGCGUCCGAUUAGCUAGUUGGUGAGGUAAUGGCUCACCAAGGCUACGAUCGGUAGCUGGUCUGAGAGGAUGACCAGCAUCACUGGGACUGAGACACGGCCCAGACUCCUACGGGAGGCAGCAGUGGGGAAUAUUGGACAAUGGGCGAAAGCCUGAUCCAGCCAUGCCGCGUGGAUGAUGAAGGCCUUAGGGUUGUAAAGUCUUUAACGGGAAGAUAAUGACGGUACCGUAGAAUAAGCCCGGCUAACUUCGUGCCAGCAGCCGC
This 443-nucleotide ribosomal RNA is filed under the name uncultured bacterium. RNAcentral describes it as "SSU rRNA". It matches the Rfam family "Bacterial small subunit ribosomal RNA", at positions 26 to 518 of the family's 1533-position model. The record is from RNAcentral.